RNAcentral lists this unclassified non-coding RNA (214 nucleotides) under fungal sp. RNAcentral describes it as "partial internal transcribed spacer region". The stretch from base 1 to 46 matches the Rfam family "Eukaryotic small subunit ribosomal RNA", at positions 1786 to 1831 of the family's 1831-position model. RNAcentral also lists the same sequence under 1 other name. Lineage: Eukaryota; Fungi. The record is from RNAcentral.
AAGUCGUAACAAGGUUUCCGUAGGUGAACCUGCGGAAGGAUCAUUAUCACGUAUCCACGUUAUAAACCAACUGUGAACUGUUUACAUUAACCACUUGAACCAAUUAAUUUUACUUUGUUUGUACUGAUUUGUUCUUUACUCAGGUGUAACAACCCGAGAAGGAAUGUAAUACGAAACAAAAGAACAACUCUUAGCAACGGAUAUCUUGGUUCUC